Molecule: ribosomal RNA, 925 nt
Filed under: Vibrionaceae bacterium DSM2
Lineage: Bacteria; Pseudomonadati; Pseudomonadota; Gammaproteobacteria; Vibrionales; Vibrionaceae
Description: bacterial SSU rRNA
Rfam family: Bacterial small subunit ribosomal RNA
Source: RNAcentral
ACCUUCGGGGGACGAUACGGCGUCGAGCGGCGGACGGGUGAGUAAUGCCUAGGAAAUUGCCCUGAUGUGGGGGAUAACCAUUGGAAACGAUGGCUAAUACCGCAUAAUACCUACGGGUCAAAGAGGGGGACCUUCGGGCCUCUCGCGUCAGGAUAUGCCUAGGUGGGAUUAGCUAGUUGGUGAGGUAAUGGCUCACCAAGGCGACGAUCCCUAGCUGGUCUGAGAGGAUGAUCAGCCACACUGGAACUGAGACACGGUCCAGACUCCUACGGGAGGCAGCAGUGGGGAAUAUUGCACAAUGGGCGCAAGCCUGAUGCAGCCAUGCCGCGUGUGUGAAGAAGGCCUUCGGGUUGUAAAGCACUUUCAGUCGUGAGGAAGGUAGUGUAGUUAAUAGCUGCAUUAUUUGACGUUAGCGACAGAAGAAGCACCGGCUAACUCCGUGCCAGCAGCCGCGGUAAUACGGAGGGUGCGAGCGUUAAUCGGAAUUACUGGGCGUAAAGCGCAUGCAGGUGGUUUGUUAAGUCAGAUGUGAAAGCCCGGGGCUCAACCUCGGAAUAGCAUUUGAAACUGGCAGACUAGAGUACUGUAGAGGGGGGUAGAAUUUCAGGUGUAGCGGUGAAAUGCGUAGAGAUCUGAAGGAAUACCGGUGGCGAAGGCGGCCCCCUGGACAGAUACUGACACUCAGAUGCGAAAGCGUGGGGAGCAAACAGGAUUAGAUACCCUGGUAGUCCACGCCGUAAACGAUGUCUACUUGGAGGUUGUGGCCUUGAGCCGUGGCUUUCGGAGCUAACGCGUUUAAGUAGACCGCCUGGGGAGUACGGUCGCAAGAUUAAAACUCAAAUGAAUUGACGGGGGCCCGCACAAGCGGUGGAGCAUGUGGUUUUAUUCGAUGCAACGCGAAAACCUUACCUACUCUUGACAUCCA